GAAGUGAGAAAGAUAUGAGUGAAAGAUGUAUUGGUAAUAGGAAUAGGGUGGUACUUUAAUAAAUGUUCGAUGACAAGCCGGAAGGCAAACACAAACAACAUGGGGAAUCUUCCGCAAUGGGCGAAAGCCUGACGGAGCAAUACCGCGUGAGGGAGGAAGGCUCUUGGGUUGUAAACCUCUUUUCUCAGGGAAGGACACAAUGACGGUACCUGAGGAAUCAGCAUCGGCUAACUCCGUGCCAGCAGCCGCGGUAAUACGGAGGAUGCAAGCGUUAUCCGGAAUGAUUGGGCGUAAAGCGUCCGCAGGUGGCUGUGUAAGUCUGCUGUCAAAGAGCAAAGCUCAACUUUGUAAAGGCAGUGGAAACUACACGGCUAGAGUGCGUUCGGGGCAGAGGGAAUUCCUGGUGUAGCGGUGAAAUGCGUAGAGAUCAGGAAGAACACCGGUGGCGAAGGCGCUCUGCUAGGCCGCAACUGACACUGAGGGACGAAAGCUAGGGGAGCGAAUGGGAUUAGAUACCCCAGUAGUCCUAGCUGUAAACGAUGGAUACUAGGCGUGGCUUGUAUCGACCCGAGCCGUGCCGUAGCUAACGCGUUAAGUAUCCCGCCUGGGGAGUACGCACGCAAGUGUGAAACUCAAAGGAAUUGACGGGGGCCCGCACAAGCGGUGGAGUAUGUGGUUUAAUUCGAUGCAACGGGGAAGAACCUUACCAAGGCUUGACAUGUCGCGAACUCUUUUUAAGGAAGAGGCCCUUUUUUUUUUUUGGGGAAGGGGGAACAUUUGGGAAACC
This 787-nucleotide ribosomal RNA is filed under the name Anabaena laxa RPAN48. RNAcentral's name for it is "bacterial SSU rRNA". It matches the Rfam family "Bacterial small subunit ribosomal RNA", at positions 69 to 1045 of the family's 1533-position model. Lineage: Bacteria; Bacillati; Cyanobacteriota; Cyanophyceae; Nostocales; Nostocaceae. The record is from RNAcentral.